Molecule: non-coding RNA, 697 nt
Organism: Paramisgurnus dabryanus
Lineage: Eukaryota; Metazoa; Chordata; Actinopteri; Cypriniformes; Cobitidae
Source: RefSeq, a predicted model, not a curated record
CGAGCUCUUCUUCUACGGCGUACAGCAGCUCUAUAAAUACCGACCGCUGCUUUACGCAUGCUCUCUUUUAUACAAUGGUGCAUCGGUGUUCGUGUGCUACGGCAAAACAAGAAAUUACGAUUAUGUCGCCUGGCGAAGGUGGAUGAAUAACCUCCAAAUGAAGAAUGUCCAGCUGUUAACACACAAGUGUUUGUGAUGUCGCACAAUAUACCACAGUACCUUGAUUCAAAUGGAUGAUUGCGUUGAUUGCAAUUCAGGACUGAAGAUUUCUCUCUGAAAGAGGAAUAGAAGUAAAGGAAGUGGUCGAACCAUACAUCUGUAUCAUCCUAGAGCAGGCUGGGGUCUUUUUGAAGAGUGGUCACCUUUUCUCCUGGGGACCCACUGUGAGUUUGUGGAUGAACUUGAUUGGCCUGGACAGGGUCCUGACCUCAACCCAAUAGGACAUCUUUGGGAUGAAUACGAGCGAGGCCUUCUUGUCCAACAUUAGUGUCUGACAAAUGUGCUUUUAGAAGAAUGUUCCUAACACACUAAGCCCUGUAAUAGCUGCAAAGGGCGGGCCUAUUCUAUAUUAAACCUAUGGAUUAAGAAUUGGACGUCAUUCAGGUUAAUGUGCAUGUAAAGGCAGGUGUCCCAAAACAUUUGGCAUUAUGGUGUAUGUACUGUCAUUGAAGAAAAUAAAAAUUACUGUUAAUUAUCA